GACGAACGCUGGCGGCGUGCUUAACACAUGCAAGUCGAACGGAAAGGCCCUGCUUUUGUGGGGUGCUCGAGGGGCGAACGGGUGAGUAACACGUGAGUAACCUGCCCUUGACUUUGGGAUAACUUCAGGAAACUGGGGCUAAUACCGGAUAGGAGCUCCUGCUGCAUGGUGGGGGUUGGAAAGUUUCGGCGGUUGGGGAUGGACUCGCGGCUUAUCAGCUUGUUGGUGGGGUAGUGGCUUACCAAGGCUUUGACGGGUAGCCGGCCUGAGAGGGUGACCGGCCACAUUGGGACUGAGAUACGGCCCAGACUCCUACGUGAGGCAGCAGUGGGGAAUAUUGCACAAUGGGCGGAAGCCUGAUGCAGCAACGCCGCGUGCGGGAUGACGGCCUUCGGGUUGUAAACCGCUUUCGCCUGUGACGAAGCGUGAGUGACGGUAAUGGGUAAAGAAGCACCGGCUAACUACGUG
RNAcentral lists this ribosomal RNA (468 nucleotides) under uncultured bacterium. Its description in RNAcentral is "partial 16S ribosomal RNA". It matches the Rfam family "Bacterial small subunit ribosomal RNA", at positions 28 to 507 of the family's 1533-position model. The record is from RNAcentral.